Molecule: small nucleolar RNA, 140 nt
Organism: Juglans regia (Persian walnut)
Lineage: Eukaryota; Viridiplantae; Streptophyta; Magnoliopsida; Fagales; Juglandaceae
Product: small nucleolar RNA Z247
Exons: 1
Source: RefSeq, a predicted model, not a curated record
CUCUUUGACUAUGAACUAGUACUAGUCGGUUAUGUCCUUGCAGAACUUGGAUUAGAAUAUUACCCCUUGAUCACUUCCAUUAUAACAUGACUUGAUCCAAAGACCAUUCAAGAAGUUUAUGGUCACCUUCUUAAUUGAGU